This 425-nucleotide ribosomal RNA is filed under the name uncultured bacterium. RNAcentral describes it as "partial 16S ribosomal RNA". It matches the Rfam family "Bacterial small subunit ribosomal RNA", at positions 354 to 796 of the family's 1533-position model. The record is from RNAcentral.
GUGGGGAAUAUUGGGCAAUGGGGGAAACCCUGACCCAGCAACGCCGCGUGAAGGAAGAAGGUUUUCGGAUCGUAAACUUCUAUCCUUGGUGAAGAUAAUGACGGUAGCCAAGAAGGAAGCCCCGGCUAACUACGUGCCAGCAGCCGCGGUAAUAAGUAGGGGGCAAGCGUUGUCCGGAAUGAUUGGGCGUAAAGGGCGCGUAGGCGGCCUGGUAAGUCUGGAGUGAAAGUCCUGCUUUUAAGGUGGGAUUUGCUUUGGAUACUGUCGGGCUUGAGUGCAGGAGAGGUAAGCGGAAUUCCCGGUGUAGCGGUGAAAUGCGUAGAGAUCGGGAGGAACACCAGUGGCGAAGGCGGCUUACUGGACUGUAACUGACGCUGAGGCGCGAAAGUGUGGGGAGCAAACAGGAUUAGAUACCCCAGUAGUCC